CCUACGGGUGGCAGCAGUGAGGAAUAUUGGUCAAUGGACGCGAGUCUGAACCAGCCAAGUCGCGUGCAGGAUGACGGCUCUAUGAGUUGUAAACUUCUUUUGUACGAGAGUAAACGCAGAUACGCGUGUCUGUCUGAAAGUAUCGUACGAAUAAGGCUCGGCUAACUCCGUGCCAGCAGCCGCGGGAAUACGGAGGAUUCAAGCGUUGUCCGGAUUUAUUGGGGUUAAAGGGUGCGUAGGCGGGAGGAUAAGUUAGAGGUGAAAUCCCGGGGCGCAAAUGCGGACUUGCCGUUGAUACUGGUAGGCUAGAGAGUACGUGAGGUAGGCGGAAUGUAUGGUGUAGCGGUGAAAUGCUUAGAGAUCACACAGAACACCGAUUGCGAAGGCAGCUUACCAAGCUACUUCUGACGUUGAGGCACGAAAGCGUGGGGAGCAAACAGGAUUAGAUACCCUGGUAGUC
Molecule: ribosomal RNA, 460 nt
Filed under: uncultured bacterium
Lineage: Bacteria
Description: partial 16S ribosomal RNA
Rfam family: Bacterial small subunit ribosomal RNA
Source: RNAcentral